UACGUAGGGGGCAAGCGUUAUCCGGAUUUACUGGGUGUAAAGGGAGCGUAGACGGUAAUGUAAGUCUGAUGUGAAAGCCCGGGGCUCAACCCCGGGACUGCAUUGGAAACUAUGUAACUAGAGUACCGGAGAGGUAAGCGGAAUUCCUAGUGUAGCGGUGAAAUGCGUAGAUAUUAGGAGGUACACCAGUGGCGAAGGCGGCUUACUGGACGGAAACUGACGUUGAGGCUCGAAAGCGUGGGGAGCAAACAGG
RNAcentral lists this ribosomal RNA (253 nucleotides) under uncultured bacterium. RNAcentral's name for it is "partial 16S ribosomal RNA". It matches the Rfam family "Bacterial small subunit ribosomal RNA", at positions 524 to 776 of the family's 1533-position model. The record is from RNAcentral.